RNAcentral lists this transfer RNA (73 nucleotides) under Stegodyphus mimosarum. It matches the Rfam family "tRNA". Rfam says of the family: Transfer RNA (tRNA) molecules are approximately 80 nucleotides in length. Their secondary structure includes four short double-helical elements and three loops (D, anti-codon, and T loops). The record is from Rfam by way of RNAcentral. Lineage: Eukaryota; Metazoa; Arthropoda; Arachnida; Araneae; Eresidae.
GCCUUCGUGGUGUAAUGGUCAGCACACUGAGCCGGUAUUUCAGAGGUCCGUGGUUCGAUUCCCGGAAAAGGAA